Molecule: ribosomal RNA, 258 nt
Filed under: uncultured bacterium
Lineage: Bacteria
Description: partial small subunit ribosomal RNA
Rfam family: Bacterial small subunit ribosomal RNA
Source: RNAcentral
AGGACGAACGCUGGCGGCGUGCUUAACACAUGCAAGUCGAACGGUAAGGCCCCUUCGGGGGUACACGAGUGGCGAACGGGUGAGUAACACGUGAGCAACCUGCCCUUGACUCUGGAAUAACAGCUGGAAACAGCUGCUAAUACUGGAUACGACCUCCGGCGACAUCGCCUGGAGGUGGAAAGCUCCGGCGGUCAAGGAUGGGCUCGCGGCCUAUCAGCUUGUUGGUGAGGUAAUGGCUCACCAAGGCUUCGACGGGUA